This 599-nucleotide long non-coding RNA is filed under the name Pectinophora gossypiella (pink bollworm). RNAcentral describes it as "uncharacterized LOC126376148". Lineage: Eukaryota; Metazoa; Arthropoda; Insecta; Lepidoptera; Gelechiidae. The record is from RNAcentral.
UUGUCAAGGUGACAGUUGUUAGUUGACAUACGAUUAUUUCUGAUGUUUGGUGGUCUUCAUUUUGUAUUGGCAAAAAUAUAUCUCCAACUCCUAUCUCUAAAGACGAUGAUAACCAUUGUGAAGAAUGACAUGCAAAGGCUAUUAGAACCACAUAUCAACAAUUUUCUGACCAUGACCAAGUGAUGAAUAUGAUAAAAGUCUACCUCAUGAAAGCCACACUACUUUUCAAAGAAAAAUAUUUUCUUUGGAGUUGUAGGUAUUAUAGUGAAAACUUAAUCUUGACUUCUGUUCUGCAUAAAUGAGAAUCGCACUAUGCCAGGUAACAUAAUGUAGCGAGUACCCUGGUUGAGUCAAGAUAAUAUAAGUGGAAAGAUAAUGUGGCCCAAGUAGUAAAGGAAAGGAUGUGCAAACAGCCGAAUGUGAAUCUGGCAAUAAUGUGCCUGUUUAAAUGAGUUUUAGUUGAGUACCAAAUAGUUACCUAGGUUUUCCUGGGAAAAACACUGAUCCAGCCUUUCUGAUUCAACUGAGUUUUUGUAUGGUUUUGAAUAAAUAACUAAACAAUAGAAAUGUGUCUUUUUUAUUUUACUAUCCCCUUUCCA